UGAAUGCGACUGUUAAGACCUGCAAUAAUCCAGAAUGGCUACUCUGAUCUAUGUUGAUAAGGAAAAUGGAGAACCAGGCACCCGUGUGGCUGCUAAGGAUGGGCUGAAGCUGGGGUCUGGACCUUCAAUCAAAGCCUUAGAUGGGAGAUCUCAAGUUUCAACACCACGUUUUGGCAAAACGUUCGAUGCCCCACCAGCCUUACCUAAAGCUACCAGAAAAGCUUUGGGAACUGUCAACAGAGCUACAGAAAAGUCUGUAAAGACCAAGGGACCCCUCAAACAAAAACAGCCAAGCUUUUCUGCCAAAAAGAUGACUGAGAAGACUGUUAAAGCAAAAAGCUCUGUUCCUGCCUCAGAUGAUGCCUAUCCAGAAAUAGAAAAAUUCUUUCCCUUCAAUCCUCUAGGUAGUAUCUUUUGCAAUUGCGAAAAGUGCUUUUGGCCUUUAGUUUCUUAGUAUUCAGCUCAGCUGUAACUUGUUAUGAAUAUAAUAUAUGACCAAAAACUAUGAUGAGACUGUCUGAAUCUGGGUUGCUUUGGACAAGUGUACUUGUUGAUGGAAUUAUUUGCAAGGUAUCAUCUUAGGUCAGGAGGGGAAUAGGAACAAAGAUGUAGAAGACAUUGUUCCUGUCUGUAAAAGCUUAUCACCUAGAGGAGGUAAGAUGUAUUCAUGAACAUUGAAUAAGUCCCAUUGUGGACAGUCUUUCUCACAAGGCUUUUAGAAGUGAGCUUUAUGUCAAGUUGAGCAAUGCCUGAGAGUAAUUUGGUAGGAUUAUUUCUUUGGUUUGAAAAAUCUACAUAAGACAGUGAAGACGUGUUUUUCAAAUUUCUUCAACCUGCUACAUGUAUCUGAA
RNAcentral lists this small RNA (851 nucleotides) under Pan troglodytes (chimpanzee). Its description in RNAcentral is "retained intron". Lineage: Eukaryota; Metazoa; Chordata; Mammalia; Primates; Hominidae. The record is from RNAcentral.